GACGAACGCUGGCGGCGUGCCUAACACAUGCAAGUCGAGCGGGAACCUCAGGAGGGGUAACCCUUCCGAGGGGAGAGCGGCGAACGGGUGAGUAACACGUGGGCAACCUGCCCCGGACACCGGGAUAACCCAGGGAAACCUGAGCUAAUACCGGAUACUCCGGCGCGAUCGCAUGGUCGCGCCGGGAAAGCUCCGACGGUCCAGGAUGGGCCCGCGGCCUAUCAGCUUGUUGGUGGGGUAACGGCCCACCAAGGCGACGACGGGUAGCUGGUCUGAGAGGACGGCCAGCCACACUGGGACUGAGACACGGCCCAGACUCCUACGGGAGGCAGCAGUGGGGGAUCUUGCGCUAAUGCGCGAAAGCGUGACGCAGCGACGCCGCGUGGGGGAUGAAGGCCUUCGGGCUGUAAACCCCUUUCGGCAGGGACGAAGGGAAACUGACGGUACCUGCAGAAGAAGUCCCGGCUAACUACGUGC
This 477-nucleotide ribosomal RNA is filed under the name uncultured bacterium. Its description in RNAcentral is "bacterial SSU rRNA". It matches the Rfam family "Bacterial small subunit ribosomal RNA", at positions 28 to 508 of the family's 1533-position model. The record is from RNAcentral.